RNAcentral lists this transfer RNA (76 nucleotides) under Desulfitobacterium sp. RNAcentral describes it as "tRNA-Met". It matches the Rfam family "tRNA". Rfam says of the family: Transfer RNA (tRNA) molecules are approximately 80 nucleotides in length. Their secondary structure includes four short double-helical elements and three loops (D, anti-codon, and T loops). Further hydrogen bonds mediate the characteristic L-shaped molecular structure. tRNAs have two regions of fundamental functional importance: the anti-codon, which is responsible for specific mRNA codon recognition, and the 3' end, to which the tRNAs corresponding amino acid is attached (by aminoacyl-tRNA synthetases). tRNAs cope with the degeneracy of the genetic code in two manners: having more than one tRNA (with a specific anti-codon) for a particular amino acid; and 'wobble' base-pairing, i.e. permitting non-standard base-pairing at the 3rd anti-codon position. Lineage: Bacteria; Bacillati; Bacillota; Clostridia; Eubacteriales; Desulfitobacteriaceae. The record is from RNAcentral. RNAcentral also lists the same sequence under 7 other names.
CGCGGGAUAGAGCAGUUGGAAGCUCGUCGGGCUCAUAACCCGGAGGCCGUUGGUUCGAAUCCAGCUCCCGCUACCA